Oxyura jamaicensis (ruddy duck) is the source of this 237-nucleotide long non-coding RNA. RefSeq lists it as uncharacterized. NCBI's taxonomy places the organism in Eukaryota, Metazoa, Chordata, Aves, Anseriformes, Anatidae. The transcript has 2 exons. The record is from RefSeq and is a predicted model, not a curated record.
UGGGACGUCCCAGAAUUAAAUUUGGAAAGAAAACCGCAAAUUUAAGGUUUGGAGAAACAUCUUGAUGGACCUCAGCGGGGAAUUGAGGAUGGAAAUUUUGGGUUUGGGACGUCCCAGAAUUAAAUUUGAGGAGGAAAAUGGCAAUUUGAGGUGAGGAGGAACAUCUUGAUGGACCUCAACAUGGAAUUAAAGAUGGUGAAUUUGGGUUUUCAACGUCCCAGAAUUCAUUUUGAGGAG